AUGAACGCUGGCGGCGUGCUUAACACAUGCAAGUCGAACGAGGUCCAUCCAAACUUGUUUGGGGAAGAUCUAGUGGCGAACGGGUGCAUAACACGUGAGAAACCUGCCUCAGUCUCUGGGAUAACAGUUGGAAACGACUGCUAAUACCGGAUGCCGUCACACCACCACAUGAUGGAGUGACGAAAGAUUUAUCGGAUUGAGAGGGUCUCGCGGCCUAUCAGCUAGUUGGAGAGGUAACGGCUCACCAAGGCAUCGACGGGUAGCUGGUCUGAGAGGAUGAUCAGCCACACUGGGACUGAGACACGGCCCAGACUCCUACGGGGGGCAGCAGUGGGGAAUCUUGCACAAUGGGCGAAAGCCUGAUGCAGCAACGCCGCGUGCGGGAAGAAGGCCCUAGGGUUGUAAACCGCUUUCAGUAGGGAAGAAAAUGACGGUACCUACAGAAGAAGGUGCGGCCAACUACGU
RNAcentral lists this ribosomal RNA (465 nucleotides) under uncultured bacterium. RNAcentral's name for it is "bacterial SSU rRNA". It matches the Rfam family "Bacterial small subunit ribosomal RNA", at positions 29 to 506 of the family's 1533-position model. The record is from RNAcentral.